GUCUAGAAAUUUGGGCAAUGGGCGAAAGCCUGACCCAGCGACGCCGCGUGGAGGAUGAAGUCUUUCGGGAUGUAAACUCCUGUCAGAGGGGACGAUGGUCCGUCUUUGACGGAUUGACGGUACUCUCAAAGGAAGCACCGGCUAACUACGUGCCAGCAGCCGCGGUAAAACGUAGGGUGCAAGCGUUGUCCGGAUUCACUGGGCGUAAAGGGUGUGCAGGCGGACUGGAAAGUCUUCAGUGAAAGCCUAUGGCUUAACCAUAGAAUUGCUGUAGAUACUUCCAGCCUUGGGAAUAGGAAAGGAGGAUGGAACUUUCGGUGUAGCGGUAGAAUGCGUGGAUAUCGAAAGGAACACCAAUGGCGAAGGCAGUCCUCUGGAAUAUCUCCGACGCUGAAACACGAAAGCUGGGGGAGCAAACAGGAUUAGAAACCCGAGUAGUCC
Molecule: ribosomal RNA, 441 nt
Filed under: uncultured bacterium
Lineage: Bacteria
Description: bacterial SSU rRNA
Rfam family: Bacterial small subunit ribosomal RNA
Source: RNAcentral